GAGUUUGAUCCUGGUUCAGAUUGAACGCUAGCGGGAUGCCUUACACAUGCAAGUCGAACGGCAGCACGGACUUCGGUCUGGUGGCGAGUGGCGAACGGGUGAGUAAUGUAUCGGAACGUGCCCAGUAGCGGGGGAUAACUACGCGAAAGCGUAGCUAAUACCGCAUACGCCCUACGGGGGAAAGCAGGGGAUCGUAAGACCUUGCACUAUUGGAGCGGCCGAUAUCGGAUUAGCUAGUUGGUGGGGUAACGGCUCACCAAGGCGACGAUCCGUAGCUGGUUUGAGAGGACGACCAGCCACACUGGGACUGAGACACGGCCCAGACUCCUACGGGAGGCAGCAGUGGGGAAUUUUGGACAAUGGGGGAAACCCUGAUCCAGCCAUCCCGCGUGUGCGAUGAAGGCCUUCGGGUUGUAAAGCACUUUUGGCAGGAAAGAAACGUCAUGGGUUAAUACCCCGUGAAACUGACGGUA
Molecule: ribosomal RNA, 473 nt
Filed under: uncultured Achromobacter sp.
Lineage: Bacteria; Pseudomonadati; Pseudomonadota; Betaproteobacteria; Burkholderiales; Alcaligenaceae
Description: bacterial SSU rRNA
Rfam family: Bacterial small subunit ribosomal RNA
Source: RNAcentral